This 433-nucleotide ribosomal RNA is filed under the name uncultured bacterium. Its description in RNAcentral is "partial 16S ribosomal RNA". It matches the Rfam family "Bacterial small subunit ribosomal RNA", at positions 28 to 507 of the family's 1533-position model. The record is from RNAcentral.
GACGAACGCUGGCGGCAUGCUUAACACAUGCAAGUCGAACGAGACCUCCCGGUCUAGUUGCGCUCGUCUGCUUAACGCCUGGUAACUAGCCCUUAGGUUCCGAAUACCUCCCUGAGAGGUAACCUAAUACAGCUUAAUGUCUUCGCACCAAGGAUUUUUCGCUGUUGGAUGGGCCCGCGUUGGUUUCGCCGGUUGGUAGUGUACUAGCCUACCAAGGAGUCGUUCCAGGGCUGGUCUGUGAGGAUGACCAGCCAGAAUGGCACUGAGACACGGCCCAGACUCCUACGGGAGGGAGCAGUAGGGAAUAUUGGACAAUGGGCGAAAGCCUAAUACAGCAAUGCGGGGUGAGUGAUGAAGGCCUUAGGGUUGUAAAGCUCUUUUAGACGGGAUGAUAAUGACAGUACCGGGAGAAUAAGCACCGGCUAACUACGUG